This 462-nucleotide ribosomal RNA is filed under the name uncultured bacterium. RNAcentral describes it as "partial 16S ribosomal RNA". It matches the Rfam family "Bacterial small subunit ribosomal RNA", at positions 28 to 507 of the family's 1533-position model. The record is from RNAcentral.
GACGAACGCUGGCGGCGUGCUUAACACAUGCAAGUCGAGCGGAAAGGCCCUUCGGGGUACUCGAGCGGCGAACGGGUGAGUAACACGUGAGUAACCUGCCCCAGACUUUGGGAUAACCCUCGGAAACGGGGGCUAAUACCGGAUACGACACAGCUUCGCAUGGGGUCUGUGUGGAAAGUUUUUCGGUUUGGGAUGGGCUCGCGGCCUAUCAGCUUGUUGGUGGGGUGGUGGCCUACCAAGGCGACGACGGGUAGCCGGCCUGAGAGGGCGACCGGCCACACUGGGACUGAGAGACGGCACAGACUCCUACGGGAGGCAGCAGUGGGGAGUAUUGCACAAUGGGAGGAAGCCUGAUGCAGCGACGCCGCGUGGGGGAUGACGUCCUUCGGGUUGUAAACCUCUUUCAGCAGGGACGAAGCGUAAGUGACGGUACCUGCAGAAGAAGCGCCGGCCAACUACGUG